CCAAAGGCUCUUUUAAGAGCCACCCACAUUAUCAAAAUAGAGCUG
Lepisosteus oculatus (spotted gar) is the source of this 45-nucleotide regulatory RNA element. It matches the Rfam family "Histone 3' UTR stem-loop". Rfam says of the family: The mRNAs of metazoan histone genes lack a poly-A tail. 3' end processing occurs at a site between a highly conserved stem-loop (modelled by this family) and a purine rich region around 20 nts downstream (the histone downstream element, or HDE). Lineage: Eukaryota; Metazoa; Chordata; Actinopteri; Semionotiformes; Lepisosteidae. The record is from Rfam.